GGAGGGUAUAGCUCAGUGGUAGAGCGCAUGCUUAACAUGCAUGAGGUCCUGAGUUCAAUCCCCAGUACCUCCA
Molecule: transfer RNA, 73 nt
Filed under: Vicugna pacos (alpaca)
Lineage: Eukaryota; Metazoa; Chordata; Mammalia; Artiodactyla; Camelidae
Description: tRNA-Val (AAC) (tRNA-Val-AAC-18-1)
Rfam family: tRNA
About the family: Transfer RNA (tRNA) molecules are approximately 80 nucleotides in length. Their secondary structure includes four short double-helical elements and three loops (D, anti-codon, and T loops). Further hydrogen bonds mediate the characteristic L-shaped molecular structure. tRNAs have two regions of fundamental functional importance: the anti-codon, which is responsible for specific mRNA codon recognition, and the 3' end, to which the tRNAs corresponding amino acid is attached (by aminoacyl-tRNA synthetases). tRNAs cope with the degeneracy of the genetic code in two manners: having more than one tRNA (with a specific anti-codon) for a particular amino acid; and 'wobble' base-pairing, i.e. permitting non-standard base-pairing at the 3rd anti-codon position.
Source: RNAcentral